RNAcentral lists this ribosomal RNA (1024 nucleotides) under Colletotrichum fragariae. RNAcentral describes it as "SSU rRNA". It matches the Rfam family "Eukaryotic small subunit ribosomal RNA", at positions 74 to 1109 of the family's 1831-position model. The record is from RNAcentral. Lineage: Eukaryota; Fungi; Ascomycota; Sordariomycetes; Glomerellales; Glomerellaceae.
UUAUACAGCGAAACUGCGAAUGGCUCAUUAUAUAAGUUAUCGUUUAUUUGAUAGUACCUUACUACUUGGAUAACCGUGGUAAUUCUAGAGCUAAUACAUGCUAAAAAUCCCGACUUACGAAGGGAUGUAUUUAUUAGAUUAAAAACCAAUGCCCUUCGGGGCUCACUGGUGAUUCAUAAUAACUUCUCGAAUCGCAUGGCCUUGCGCCGGCGAUGGUUCAUUCAAAUUUCUUCCCUAUCAACUUUCGAUGCUAGAGUAGUGUUCUAGCAUGGUUACAACGGGUAACGGAGGGUUAGGGCUCGACCCCGGAGAAGGAGCCUGAGAAACGGCUACUACAUCCAAGGAAGGCAGCAGGCGCGCAAAUUACCCAAUCCCGACACGGGGAGGUAGUGACGAUAAAUACUGAUACAGGGCUCUUUUGGGUCUUGUAAUUGGAAUGAGUACAAUUUAAAUCCCUUAACGAGGAACAAUUGGAGGGCAAGUCUGGUGCCAGCAGCCGCGGUAAUUCCAGCUCCAAUAGCGUAUAUUAAAGUUGUUGUGGUUAAAAAGCUCGUAGUAGAACCUUGGGCCUGGCUGGCCGGUCCGCCUCACCGCGUGCACUGGUCCGGCCGGGCCUUUCCCCCUGUGGAACCUCAUGCCCUUCACUGGGUGUGUGGGAAAACAGGACUUUUACUUUGAAAAAAUUAGAGUGCUCCAGGCAGGCCUAUGCUCGAAUACAUUAGCAUGGAAUAAUAGAAUAGGACGUGUGGUUCUAUUUUGUUGGUUUCUAGGACCGCCGUAAUGAUUAAUAGGGACAGUCGGGGGCAUCAGUAUUCAAUUGUCAGAGGUGAAAUUCUUGGAUUUAUUGAAGACUAACUACUGCGAAAGCAUUUGCCAAGGAUGUUUUCAUUUAUCAGGAACGAAAGUUAGGGGAUCGAAGACGAUCAGAUACCGUCGUAGUCUUAACCAUAAACUAUGCCGACUAGGGAUCGGACGAUGUUAUUUUUUGACUCGUUCGGCACCUUACGAGAAAUCAAAGUGCUUG